RNA transcript from Selaginella moellendorffii, 2345 nucleotides. RefSeq lists it as uncharacterized. The record is from RefSeq and is a predicted model, not a curated record. The transcript is spliced from 3 exons. NCBI's taxonomy places the organism in Eukaryota, Viridiplantae, Streptophyta, Lycopodiopsida, Selaginellales, Selaginellaceae.
CGUCGGGCGCCCGCGCCGAGCCGAGGUAGGCGUUUCGGAGCUGGAUUUCAUGGCGGAGGAGACUCUAGCUGCUAGAUUUCGAGGCGUCGAUGUGCCGCCGGCGCCUGCAUUCUCGCUCGCAUUUCCCGGUGUGGGGAAUGGAUUUGUCGGCAUAAGGCGUUUGCUAGAGGCAGCGAUGGCGGCUGAACGUUCCAAAAGAGUUCCACACCUUUCAUCGGCACCAAAGUAUCCGGCCUCUAUGACUUACGAUAAGCAUCGUAGGCUUUCAAGCUUGCGUCCCAGGGUAGCCAAGCCCGAUAAGAAGAACGGAGAAUUUCAAAGGGAGUGACUCGAACGGCUGUUACACCGAUUCCUUCCACGCAUACCCACGGAUCGGAUCGGAGGGGGUAAUGCGUACAACAAGAGGAGGAGCCCAAAUCUAUUUUAAAGCUUGACAGCGAGCAUCACUUCACAGGUCUCGGUUGAGAAGUCCUUGCUUGGCGUGGUUGGAAGGAGUGCGAAAUAGGAGUUAAGGGGGACCCCGCUGACAACUUGUGUCAUCAUCUGCUUGAUCGAGAACAUCGACCCCAUGGGUUUGUUCACACUUUUCCACAGUAGCACCAGCUCAGAUCCUGACAGAAAAGGAUACGAGAGACCGCGGGACCAAGCUAGAGCCGAGAGAAAGGUGUUGAAUGCGGUGGCUCCAACGUCCAGUUUGCAGUAAAUCUGAGAAGUGAUGGUUAUCCAGAUGAUCGUCGGCGCUGGCUUCAAAGGUCACUGGUUUUUCUAUAAAGCUGCACUUUGGACCAGAUUCCCAACGAAAGGCACCUUGCUAGUUUUGAGCCAUCCAUGGACUGUGCGGUCACGAAGUGUGUGCAGAUUCCUCGUUCUGCUUUUCAGGAGUUUCCGGGAUCGCAGGUUCCAUACUUCCCAUUCAGAUGAAGGCGGACUUUCAGGAAUCGUUUUCGAAAGCCGUUGGGAGCGGGUGGUUUUGGAUGUUGCGAAGGUACCAAAGAACUCAAGUGACGCCGAGGGGAUUAAGUAACCAGUUCCGGAUAUAUUCCGUUUACGCGGAGAACGAGCUCGGAAGAAAUUAGCGAGCUGACUUUUUUCGAUCCGUGGUUCCUGGGACAGCUCAAGGAGUCAUUCGUGGUGGAGGAGUUUCUGUCCAACACAAAGCUGACACAGCUAUGUACCAGAUCAAGCAACGAGGUUUUUGGCGACAGACAAGUUACUUAUGCUACAAAAACUGCCGAACCAGAGGUUCGAGCUCACAGGGCUCUGGGAGUGGUGCCAGCAUUUAACACCUGUGCUGCAGAGUUCGAAGCCAACACACCUUACAGGUACUCAUCCUAUGACGAUAGCCCCAGGCUUGCAACAGGAAGAAGUUAUUGAUCCUUGGUGGUGGUCCCGAUCGUAUCGGACAAGGAAUUGAAUUCGACUACUGCUGUGAAUUCGACUACUGCUGCUGUCAUGCAUCCUUCGUACUUCACGUAUGUACAUGCUCCUCCUGUUUGUUCUUGUUAAGUUACUGCUUUGGUUGGUCUGUUUUAUGAUCGUUUCUCCUUGAUUGACUGGCGCGUUUUUUUUUUUCCGUUCCAGGAAAUAGGAUUUAAGACAACAGAUGAUGAACUCCCGUCUCAACUGGCUAUGAUGCGAGAGGUGGUCUGGCUUUUCAGCCGCGGUCUUGAAUAUCAUUGAUUUGGAGAAGCCGGACGGGCAGUUUGCUUGCCAAACAUCUUUGAGGCUGGCGGUGCCUUUACAAAACUGUCUGGAUGAGGCUUCUCCAAAUUCUAUCGACGCUGUCCAGGACAGGAAAGGCUGUUCAAGCAGCUGGGAAUAGCAGCUCGUCUGGAGGCAGAAGGCGCAUUGGAGAUUGCAGAGAGGCGGUCCUUGUCCGUCCUUCCUAUGUUCUUGGUGGACGGGCCAUGGAGAUAGUUUACAGCAACGAAAAGCCUGGAAGAGUACUUGGAGACGGGGGUUUGAAGUAGUCGAUCCUGACAGACGACAAGUAUCUGACGGGCUCUUCAGAGAUCGAUGUCGACUGCCUGGCGGAUGGCAACGGAGCCGGGGAAUCAUGGAACACAUGGAGCACCGAACACGGAAUGCUGGAAUAGCAUUCCGGGGUCACAGGGGUCCUUAAUGACGAUACGAGACGCAGGAGCUCAGCGUCUGCUGCGCUGAUCGACUGUCGCACAGAACUUCACAUCAUGGAGGCGAAUCCAGGUCCCGUUUGUUUCCAAGCGAUUGACAUCUGCUGCCAGGAAGCGGUGGAGCUAUGCUUAAGUUGCGAUAUAUAUAGCGAUAUAUAUUAUAGGUUUAAAAUAUUUAAUAUUUUAAAUAUAUAUAACCCUAGUUCACGAGAA